GACAGAGGGUGCAAACGUUGCUCGGAAUUACUGGGCGUAAAGCGCGUGUAGGCGGGUCGGUGUGUCGGGUGUGAAAUCCCCAGGCUCAACCUGGGAACUGCAUUCGAAACUACCGGCCUAGAGUGGUGGAGAGGGAAGUGGAAUUCCUGGUGUAGAGGUGAAAUUCGUAGAUAUCAGGAGGAACACCAGUGGCGAAGGCGGCUUCCUGGACACCAACUGACGCUGAGACGCGAAAGCGUGGGGAGCAAACAGG
RNAcentral lists this ribosomal RNA (253 nucleotides) under uncultured bacterium. RNAcentral's name for it is "partial 16S ribosomal RNA". It matches the Rfam family "Bacterial small subunit ribosomal RNA", at positions 524 to 776 of the family's 1533-position model. The record is from RNAcentral.